Molecule: ribosomal RNA, 443 nt
Filed under: uncultured bacterium
Lineage: Bacteria
Description: bacterial SSU rRNA
Rfam family: Bacterial small subunit ribosomal RNA
Source: RNAcentral
GUACGGGAGGCAGCAGUGGGGAAUUUUCCGCAAUGGGCGAAAGCCUGACGGAGCAAUGCCGCGUGAAGGAAGAAGGCCUGUGGGUUGUAAACUUCUUUUAUCAGAGAAGAAAAAAUGACGGUAUCUGAUGAAUAAGCUCCAGCUAACCCUGUGCCAGCAGCCGCGGUAAUACAGGGGGAGCAAGCGUUAUCCGGAAUGAUUGGGCGUAAAGCGUUUGUAGGUGGCUUGUAAAGUCUGCUGUCAAAUAUCGAGGCUCAACCUCGAGAAGGCAGCGGAGUACUCACAAGCUUGAGUGUGGUAGAGGUAGAGGGAAUUCCAUGUGGAGCGGUGAAAUGCGUAGAGAUAUGGAAGAACACCAGCGGCGAAGGCGCUCUACUGGGCCAAGACUGACACUGAGAAACGAAAGCUAGGGGAGCGACUAGGAUUAGAUACCCUAGUAGUCG